ACUUUUAAAGGAUAACAGCUAAU
RNAcentral lists this transfer RNA (23 nucleotides) under Lesbia victoriae. Its description in RNAcentral is "partial tRNA-Leu". Lineage: Eukaryota; Metazoa; Chordata; Aves; Apodiformes; Trochilidae. The record is from RNAcentral.